RNAcentral lists this long non-coding RNA (16039 nucleotides) under Lynx pardinus (Iberian lynx). The record is from RNAcentral. Lineage: Eukaryota; Metazoa; Chordata; Mammalia; Carnivora; Felidae.
GUGGGAUCUUUUACCCUCCCUAAGAGUUACCAGGAUGUGCUUCAGAGAGCGAGGUCAGAACCAGCUUUUAUUCCAGCACUGGGUGAUUACUAAACUUGCAUUUUUAACCUGCUGCUACCCUUUGACGAUGCUGUGGAUCGUCGAAAUAGAUGUAUUUACUUUAACUGUACAAUUUCGGGCAUCUCUAUAUUUCAGCUUCCUGGUUUGUGAACUGGUUUAAUUCCUCCCGGGUUGUUGUUAGGAGUUCAGUAAAACCUUGUGAAUCGAGUGGUUAGCACCGUACCUGCCACACUGUAACAGCUUUCAAAAGGUCGCUAAAUUAUAAUUGAUAAUUUUAAGGCACAUUGAUAGUAGUUGUGGUGUUUAUAUGUUUGUCUACAGCCCUACACUGAGUUCCCUGAAGAUCUCAUUCAUCUUUGAAGAUACAGGUUGAGGUUGACAUAACACCAACCAGAGUUGGAAUCCAGCCCAACAACCCCUCUUACUUGCUGAUCCACCUUGGCAAGUUAUUUUGCUUCAGCAAGUCUUGAUGUCAUAGUAAAUGAAACAAUUUCAGUACAGCAUGUGGACAAAAGCCACUUUGUUUUAAAUCAUAAUAGUUUAUUACUUUGGAAUGAAUAGGUGUUGGUGUAGGUGAAGAUACCAGCUUUGUGCAUUUUAGCAGAACAAAAGGAGAGAAGUGACUUUAAAAAAAGUUUAAAGAAAACCGCCUUAAAAGGUAAUGUAGUAAUUAUAUUUGUGUAGAUCACAGGGCAUGUGUAAAAACCAUCCUCUCUAUAGAUUCCUCUGCCCCAAAAAGGAGAUCCAUUCAGAAGCAUUGUGAUUGUGGCCACUAACCUGAGGUCACCUGCAUGUGCCAGUGAAUGCCAGUAUGAUUUUGUUCCUUAUUUUUCAAAAUCACCAAAGCCGGAUCUCAAAACCACUAGUGUUGAAGUACCUUCUAGAUACUUAGAGGUUUCCUGUUUUGUUUUAUUUCUUGGAAUGGAAAGUACCAUAGUAGCCUUUCGCCCAAACAUGUUACUCUAUAUUUGUCUCUAUGUCUAUACUGGACCUAGAGGACCAUGUUUCAAAAUAUGAAUCCUAAACAUAUAAAUAAUAUUGAAGAGGAAGAUGUUGAAUUCAGUGCUGUGAAACCCAGCACUACUGGAAAGACCUCAAAAGAUACAUCCUUUUCAUUGAGUAUCAGUCAAAUAUGCCGUAAUUACUGUACUACAUUUAUCUUCAAGCUGAAAUUAUUUCCUUUCUUGGAUAAGUAUUAAUGCUUCCUAGGAUCUUUAUUCAACAACAUACAGAAGAGGACUUGGAAUACCAGGUGUAUGUUAAUGCUACUUUCCUUCCCUUCUUGUCCAAACCAGGUUGAGUGAAGGUAUGGGGUACUGAUUCUGGUAUUUUGUAACGGGCUAAAAUGUUUUCUUGUAAUGGUAUAUACUGCACUUACUCUGAACAGAUGAAUGGCAACUCACCAGGAAAAAUAAUCUAUCGGAUUUCAUAUAAGCGGUCACUGUUGGCAUUUAGAUAAAUAAUCUAUAGCUAGACUGAAUUUUGCGCUUCUAUUUUGUUUCAUUGUUUCCUUUCUUUGUUUUAGGUGCUGAUUGUUGGAGGUUCUUUUGGUCUUCGUGAGUUUUCACAAAUCCGCUACGAUGCUGUGAAAAUUAAAGUAAGGACUGUAAUUGGUGUUCAGCAUGUGUCUGUGUAUAUGUAUGUUCUGGUUUACAUGUGUAUAUGCAGUGUUAAACAGUCUGAGUUUUGUCUUGCUUUUCAAGGUGGCCAUAUAAUCUUUGGACUUUUCCUUAUUCUGUAAGACAACAUGAGUGAUGAUCUGGAAAUGAAUCAUGAAAUGUAAAGAAUUUAGUAAUCUUCUUCAUCAUUGGAAAAUUUACAAUACUGUAUUCUCCAAUAAAAUGGACUCUGGUGUAGUUGUUUUUAGGAUUUAGGAGGGACUGAAGAAUGUGGGACAGUUUCACUCCCAUUUUAUUACUCCAUUUCAUAUUAAUACCAGUAAUUUUAUAAAUUAUAUGGAUAUAUGAACUGAUAUACUAACAGUAAAAGAAAAUUAUUUUCAUUAUAAAUAAUAAAUUAUAUAUGUGUGUGUGUGUAUGUGUGUGUGUAUAUAUAUAUAUAUAUAUACAUAUAUAUGAAAUUUACAGGUGAGGAAGCUGAGGUUCAGAGAACUUAAGUAACUUGCCUAAGGUUACAUGACUAUUUCGAGGUAGUGUUAGGAUUCUCACCUUCUGUGAUUACACGGUUACUUAAAAAUUCAAGCCAAGUGUUACAUAAGAACCCUGGUUAAUUCUUUCAGAAGUAUGUAGUUUUUGUUUGUGGCCAUUUGUGAUAUUUGAGUUUUUUCCAAGUUAUUUAUAUAUGAUAAAUAUAUAUAACAUAUUUAAUAUUCAUAUUAUAUAUAAAUAUAAAUAUAUAUGUGUGAUGAAAUAUAUAUAUGAUUUACUACCAAUAUUACUGAGGUCUGCUAAUGAAAUAUAUAUAAUAUAUAAUAUUAAUUAAUAAUUAUCGAUAGGAAAAUAAAGAGUAAAGGCCUAUUUAGUUUUCUCAGUUAAUUUUAUGAUUUAAGAGAAACGCCAAUUCCAACUAGUCUUAAAGAUAUUAGAUAUUAGAGUAAAUAUUAAAUUUAAAAAGAAUGUGUGAUUUCUGUGGGGUAAUAGAGCAAUUAUUAACUGUAUUAAAAAGUGUCUGUUAGCAUCCUGCUUAUUUUAUUAAGGAAUUUUUUUCCCUUUCCCUUUAAGAUGAAAGUUAUAAUAAUCUGACUUUUGGAAGUGGGAUGACUAUACAUAUUUGAAAAAUAAUUGAAUAUUUGUCAUAUGUAUUUAUUAUGUGGCAGAUCCUAUAGAUAAAGAUUCAAGAAAUUAGUUCUUACAAAGCUUGUGGCAUAAUUUAGGCUGGAAGACAUCCAGUAUAAAAAUGUAGUCAGGGGCGCCUGGGUGGCUCAGUCGGUAAAGCGGCUGACUUCGGCUCGGGUCACGAUCUCGCGGUCCGUGAGUUCGAGCCCCGCGUCGGGCUCUGUGCUGACAGCUCAGAGCCUGGAGCCUGUUUCGGAUUCUGUGUCUCCCUCUCUCUGACCCUCCCCCGUUCACGCUCUGUCUCUCUCUGUCUCAAAAAUAAAUAAACGUUAAAAAAAAAUUAAAAAAAAAUGUAGUCAAACAAAUUACAUCAUUGCCCAGUAAAAUGCUAUAUUAGAGUUUUGCAUAAAACAGUACUAGAGACAUACAAUUUAGACUUGGGAAAGGGGUAUCACAGAAGGUUUGCUAGAGGCAUUAACCUUUGAAUUACGACCCUACGAAUGAGUAAGUGUUGGGUCACCUGGGCAGCUCAGUCUGACUCUUGAUUUCAGCCCAGGUCAUGAUCUCACAGUUUCUCACAGAUCUCACAGAUCUCAGAGUUUGUGGGUUGGAGCCCCAUGUGGGGCUCCACAUGCUGACAGAAUAGAGCCUGUUUGGGAUUCUCUCUUUCCCUCUCUUUCUUCCCCUCCCUUGAGCACGUGUGCGUGCUCUCUCUCUCUCUCUCAAAAUAAACUUAAAAAAAAUUGGAUGAGUGUUAGCUAAAUGUUGAAAAUGAUAUUCUAUAACACAGGAGGAGUAUUGGGCAUAUCGUCAGAUGUUCAUUUUAGAAAUCCCUCUGGCCGUGGAUGGGACAAGAUGGAUGGGGAUUGAGCAAGGUGGAAGGGGAGAGAUGAGACCUGUUAGGGUGCUUUGGCAGUAGUACACAUGGACAGUAAUGAAACUUGAAAUAAAAUAUUUGCAAUGAAGUUAGAAAUAAAUGGGUUCCAGAAAAAAAAUUUUUUAGCAGCUAAUUGAUAGUAUUUGAUGACUAAUGUGAUGUAUAUAAUAUAAAAAAAUGAGUAAGUCUUGCACAGCUUGAGGUUUUGGUUUUGUGGACUGGAUAAAUGGUGAUGCCAUUCACCGAGUUAAGGAGAGAGAAUGAGGGAGAUUGCAUUAAUAGGAGAAGUUUAGAAGAUGGGCUUAAAGUAAAGAGAAGAAAGGUGAAAUAGAAUGAAGUUCAUUGCAAUUGAGAGGACAAGGUUGGUUGAUGAGAACAAGGUUGAGAGGAUGCGGUUGGUCAAGGUCUAUGGGAGGAGGCUGAGUGGACAGAGUUCAAGUGAGAAGGAUCAGAGGACAAGACCUGAGAUUGAGAAGUCCAGGUUGGUUGAUGUUCAGAAGUCAAACUCAGAUGAAGUCAAGAGUCAGUGUUUGGGUGAGAUUGAGUUCAGACAAGAUAAAGAGGAUAAAGUGGACUGAAUGUGAGAGUGAUUAACAGGAUGAUUCAUUGAGGUUAACUGGGGUUAUUAGGGUUGAGAGACCAAGAGCAAGGGGGAGUCAAAAGGACAGAAUUGCUGAGAUUAAGGGGGGGUCAAGUCUGAGGUUGAGAGUACAAAUGCCGUUGAGAAAGACUAGGAUAAGUUCAGCUGAGAAGUGUUGAGGAGGGUGGAGAAAGACAGUAUUGAUUUGGAGUGACUGGCCAUCUUAGUUUGCCUGGAAAUGUCCUGAUUUUAGUACUGAAAGUCUGGCAUCCCAGAACACAGAAACUCCUGCUUUUCAGUCAUUGGUGAGGAAAGUGGAAAGGAAAGUACAGAAUCCAAGAGGUGGGCUAAAAAAAUGAACUGAAAGCACUAGCUUUCAAUUCUAGUGUGAAAUACAUAGGGCAUAGUUUAUCUAUGCCAUUCUUUUGUUUUUUUUUUAAAGGUUAUUUAUUUAUUUUGAGAGAGAUCGAGCGCAAAUGGGGGAGGGGCAGAGAGAAAGGGGGAUAGAGGAUCUGAAGUGGGAUCUGAAAUGGGCUCUGUGCUGACACCAGAGAGCUCAACGUAGAGAACUGGAUGCAGAGAGCCAGACGCAGAGAACCCAGACUCACGAACUGUGCGAUUUUGACCUGAGCCACCCAGACACCCCUUAUCUACGCCAUUCUUAGUGGUGGUGGUUCUUUUUUGUUCUCCUGACUCUUAAUACUAACAACCAUGGAACUACAAUAAUGGACCAUCCAUUGUUGCAUCGCUCCAAGUAGUAUGACCUAAGUGUGCAUAUAAGUGCAUUAUAAUCCUGAGUAUUAAGUCUUUCUUUUUCCUUUGAAAUAGAGCUAGUUUAAUUCUUAACAUUGUUAAUGUUGUGAUCAUGUUUUCUAAGAUUUAGAUAAUGAGAAUGAGAACAAUUACAAUACCAAUGCCAGCAUGGUCCCAACAUCACUGAAAGAGAAAGCCAAAUGACUGUGUUAUUUUUUUUAAUGUUUAUUUAUUUUUGAGAGAGAGAGCAAAAGUUGGGGAGGGGCAGAGAGAGAAGGAGACACAGAAUCCGAAGCAGGCUCCAGGCUCUGAGCUGUCAGCACAAAGCCUGACAUAGGGCUUGAACUCCACUGAACGCGAGAUCAUGACCUGAGCUGAAGUCAGACACUCAGACUGAGCCACCCACGCGCCCCUAUUCUUAAUAUUCUAACACUUUACUAUUACUCAAUUAAGAAUAGCUGUUUUUGUUUUGUUGUGGUUAUUUUUUCUUGUGUUGUUUCAGGCUGAGGACUCAUGCUUUUCUAAAUAUUACUCAGUUAAUUACUGGUCAAUUAUUUAAUUAUAUCCCUUCCUCCAUUCUCUCUGUUCUCUAAUUCUGAAAUCCCUAACAGCCCCUAUUGGGGCUUUUAGAUGUAGCUUUCACCAUAGGCCUUUUCUUUCCUUCAUCCCAAUUCUUGUGCAUUAUUCUAAUGGUAUUUCUAGUGUAUUAAUGGUCUUUUUUUUUUUUAAUUAAGUUUAUUUAUUUUGAGAAAGAGAGAGCAUGAGUGGGGGAAAAGGCAGAGAGACAGAGAGGGAGACAGAGAAUCCCAAGCAGGCUCCACCUUCAGUGUGGAGCCUGACACAGGGCUUGAUCUCAUGACCUUGGGAUCAUGACCUGAGCUGAAGUCGGACACUCAAUCAACUGAGCCACCCAGGCACCCUAGUGUAUUAAUGGUCUUAAGCUGUGUUCAGUUACUAUUCUGCUAUUCCAUUUAUUUUAAUUUGGGUUCUGUUGUUUGUUUAUCAAUUUCAGUGAUCACAUUCUUCUUUCCUCAACACUUUGCCACGCAUAGGUAACAUGGCAUCAGCUCCUGUUUACUACUGUGGACUCCUGUUGAAUUUUUUCUUCGAUGCUUCUUUAUUUCAGGUGUAUUGAAGGUCUUAUUUUUUGUUUUCAAGAGCAGCACUAUAUUUAUUAGUAUUUUUAUGUUAUUUUGUUUGUAUUUUAUGUUAUUUAUCAUUUAGGGUGGUUGUUAACAGCAUGGACUCUGGAGGCAGAGGGCCAAGUUUCAAAGCCAGUUUCUUCCUCUUCAACAAGUGAUUCGAACUCCUUGUGUCCCAUUAUCUUCACUUGUGAUCAUCAUCAUAAUAAUUAUCUCAUAAGUUUCGGUGAGGAUUACUAGAGAUAAUGUAUGUCAGAAUGCCUGGCAUAUGAAGAGUGCUGGCGAAUACAGGCUGCUGAUAAUUAUAGUAGUGGUGGUAGUACGUUAGCUGUCAUGACGCGAUCGGGUGGGAGAGAUUUUGUCACGUGUUUGUCAUCUGCCACACCACCCCAGCCAUCCCUUAUAUAACUUUUUACAUUCACAGUUGAAUGUAAGAGACUUGAACAACUUACGGCUCCUCUUUCUUUUCUACAGAUUGAUCCUGAAUUAGAAAAAAAGCUGAAAAUGAAUAAAGUGUCAUUGGAAUCAGAGUAUGAGGUACAUACGUUAAUAUGUAUUGUAUGUUAAUACAGCCUCUCUUUUGUAACCGUCUUCCCGGUCAGUGACUGAUUCGCUCUCUCUUCAGGUUAACGGAAAUGAUUACCAGUGCAGAAGAAAAUUAUUUACCUUAAACAGUAUGGUAUCGGGGCAACUAACUAUGUAGUCAUUUGGAAAGAAAAUAAGGAUGGAUCUAUAUUUCAUAUACUAUAAAUGGAUGAAUUCUAGAUGGAAUAAGAAUUUAAAAAUAAAAAAGCAAUGCUAAAAAUACUAGGAGAAAAAAAAUGGAGAUUCUUUUCUGUGGUCUUGAGUCAGAAAAGCUGAUUUAAAUGUAAUACAAAAUUCCAAAGCUUUACAGGGAAAGAUUGAUGAGUUUAUAUAUAAAAAUUCAAAAGUUCAGCCUUAAAAAAUGUAUAUAAAGUCACUGGUUAAAUGAGACAUCCUAAAACUGUUGUUUAUCUUAUCAUGAUGAAUUAAUUUAAAUAUGAAGAGCGUCUGCAGAUCAAUAUGGAAAAGUUUAACAAUUUAGGUGGGCAGUAGGAACAUGGGCAAAACGUGUAAAGACUACAGAGAAAAGGAAAUAAAUAUCAUUCUUAGACAUAUAAAGAGGUACUAAACUUACAGGAAUGUUAGUUAAAGUUAUAAUGAGGUGUCGUUUUCCACCCAUCUGAUCAGAAACCAAAGUGUUUAAUAUAGGAUGUGGUGAGGAGGGUGUGCUCCAUUUCUUGGAGUCCGUUCGUUUUUGUAACUGUGGGUCAUAUUUUCCCAUAUUUCUAUGUAUGUUUGAUCAUUUUUGCUUGAAAGGUGAACAUUAUAAAUAAUACAUUGAAGAACGUUGACUCUCAUUUUAGCAGGCCCUUCAAUUAUUGGCUGAUCAUUUUGAGCUCGGUUUUGUCUUUUUGAGGGAGGAUCUGUGGAAAGACUUUGGCGUUCCCUAAACUGCUGUAACCCUAUGAGACUCAUUCUCCAAAUUGCCUCCCCAGAGGAUCUUGUCAGAGCUUGGCCUUAAGCUCUGUUGGACUGAGUCUAAUGCGGGUCUUCCUCUUGGCAUGAUCCUUAUUUCUAAAGACUAGCUUUUGGUGCCUCAGCUGUAUGCCAAAGGAGCAACUCGGUGUUAAAGAGAGGUCCCACACCAGCAGGGCUGAAAAUCAGUAUUGACACUGCUUUCUUCUUGGUUCCGUUCCGUACUCAGUUCUGUAGCAGUUGGUUAAGUGGUAAGCCGUAAGUGGUCUUGCCCACCACGUGUACGGUGUAGUCUUCAGUGACCGUACAUGUUUUGCAGAAUUCCACAGAGACUCUUUCAUUCACCAAAGAUCUUUGAAGACUUGGAACCCUCUCGCAUGAAGUUGUUCUACCAAUUUGCAUCCCAUCGAAGAAUUAUUCUUAGUUCUCUUGAGCAUAUAUCUUACGUUACCUGGGUAGAGGCCAUUAUUCUUUCUUCAGACCUUUUUGUAACUGAAUCAUUUCAUAACUAAACUUUAAAAUAAUUUACUCUCCUGCACCUUAAAUUAGUACAAUCUUGUUCAUCCACAUAUAUUUAAUACAGACAUCCUAUAAGUGGAAUUUAGAGAGUGGUUCAGUUCUCUGCUUCCCCACUAGUUUUUCAAAGCCUAUAACUUGCUCCUUCUCGGUCUAUAAGCACUGUGUCAGUAGUGAUGGCUCUGGAGGGUUUGUCUGGGGAUAAAUUUUCCUUUACUUAUUUUGGAGAUCAUAGAAUUUGAGAACUGAAGAAACCAUGUAGACCAUUUGGUCAAGCCUUUUUAUUAUUACUUAGGAGGGAAUAGUGCCCAGACAGCUUAAAUCACUUGCCCAAGGUUAUACAGCUUCUUUUUUUUUUUUUUUAAUAUAUAUAUAUAUUUUUAACAUUUAUUUAUGUUUGAGACAGAGACAGAGCAUGAACGGGAGAGGAGCAGAGAGAGAGGGAGACACAGAAUCGGAAGCAGGCUCCANGCCAUCAGCCCAGAGCCCGACGCGGGGCUCGAACUCACGGACCGUGAGAUCGUGACCUGAGCUGAAGUCGGACGCUUAACCGACUGAGCCACGCAGGCGCCCCGCUUCUUUUUUUUUUUAAUGUUUAUUUUUGACAGAGAGAGACAGAGAGAGACAGUGUGAGUGGGGGACGGGCAGAGAGAAGGAGGGAAACACAGAAUCCAAAGCAGACUCCAGGCUCUGAGCUGUCAGCACGGAGCCUGAUGCGGGGCUCGAAAUCGUGAACUGCAAGAUCGUGACCUGAGCCAAAGUCAGAUGCUUGACUGACUGAGCCACCCAGGUGCCCCAAGGUUAUACAGCUUCUUAGUAAAAGAGAAAUGCUCCUUUUUAUUUUUGUUACAAGGGUCCAUGUAAAUUUACGUCAUUUUCCUUAUCUUUGGAUAUAAGCUAUUCUGUGUUCUGUGAGUCUCUUUUUCUAUAUUAUUUCAGCAGUAAUUCGAGAACAGAUAAAGCAGUUGUAGAAAACUUGUUGUCAGAGUGGUGUUGAAGGGUGAAGAAACCUUUAUAUUCUUCCCUUUAUCCUACCUCUGUGCUGAGAGAUACUUCACACUCACUGAAGGUACAGUGAUCCAGACUGGUUGAAACUAGGUUUUACUGACUGAAAGGGAUUGGCUCAUGGCAGCUCUGGGGAAUGUCUUUUCAUUCUCUGGCUCAGGCUCAUUUCUCAUGUGCAGGACAAAUCAUCUUGGCCUCUUUUCUUCCUUCUAGCAGGCAUUAGGGUCUCUACCUUUGUUUUUCCCCUCUUACUUACUACCAUUACCCAUCUAACCCAUGCUAGUCAUUAUUAUGUUCGUUUAACCUUCGGAGUUGGAUUUUUGUUUUCCCAGCUUCUUCCCUUUCUUUGUAUUCUCAGAAAUAAAGCAUGUAGACCCUCUAUAAUUUGAUAAUUUUAUUCUGAUGGGGGGGGGAAGAUAGUCUAAUUAACAUGACUAGCAAGCAAGAAAACUUCCAAACCCUAAGAGAUAUGCCAUUUCUUCAAUUAUUAUGCGUGAUAUGCAGUUGAUUUAUUUGCUAAAAUUGGAUUUUUUCCACUCAUUUAUUCAUUGAUGAAUCAGUAAUGUCCUAAUCAAAGCUACAUGCCUCCUACACUAAUAUAUAUGCUUUAAUUUUUGUGGCUGUAUAGAAAAUAAAGGAUUCCACUUUUGAUGACUGGAAGAAUAUUCGAGGACCCAGGCCUUGGGAAGAUCCUGACCUCCUCCAAGGACGAAAUCCAGAAAUCCUUAAGACUAAGACUAAAACAACCUAAGUGGAUUCUUUCUUUCUUUCUUUUUUUCUUUUUGACAAAAAUGCCAUCCACUGGAAUUCUUGCUACAUAUUCAGUGGGAAGAAAAUCUCAGACCUGCAGAAGCCUGGAUGCGAGCAAUGUGAUGACAGAUACUUUUGAUAAAAGUCAAAGUAACAUCACACAGUGAUUUUAUGUCAAACCUAUGUAGAAAAACAAUACUGAUCACAGGCUGAUAAGAGUUUUGGUUUUGCUUAUAAUACUACUAAUCAGUCUCCAAAGUCUUAACCUGAUGAUUGCAUUGAUACCAUUAGAACAUGUUAAGAAAAUACCUCUCCAGACUGAGAGAAAAUAUUUGUCGACCACAUAUCUGCUAAAAGACUCAUAUCUAGAAUACAUAAAGAGCUCCAAAAACUCAAUUGUAAAAAAGCAAACAAUCCAAUCAGAAAAUGGUCAAAAGUCAUAAAGUGACAUUUCUCUGAACAGGGUAUAUGAAUGGCAAACAGGCACCUGAAAAGAAUGAUUGACAUCACUAGUCAUUAGGGAAAUACAAAUUUAGACUACACUGAGAAAUCACUACACAUUUAUUAGAACAGCUAAAAUAAAAAAGGGGCAAUUCCAAAUGCUGGCAAAGAUGUGGAGAAACUAGAUCUCAAACACAUUGCUGGUAUAAUGUAAAAUGGUACAAGUGGUCUGGAAAAUUCUUUGGCAGUUUCUUUAAAAACUGCAUAGGGGACUUCAGUUUCCGGUCCAACAGAUAGCAACCUUGGAAGUCACACCUCCCAUCCUCACACAAAGGAUAAGCUGAAAAAACUGAAAAUCAACAACUAUUCUUUGAUCCAUGAGAAAAUUGAGGACACAGAACAAAACCACCACUGGAAAAUUUGAGACACGCAAAUACAGAGGAUCACAGGUUACCUGGAGGAGAAACUACCUGGAAGCCACAUCAGGUAGGAAUGCUUAAAGGGCAAUUGCCUAAUUACUGGAGACUGAGCAUGGACUAAUUUGAGUUAAAAACUCCUAGAGACCAGGCCAGGGGCACACUUUUAUGAGGUUUACUUCCUGGGGCCCCACCAGGUUCUUGCAGUGAAUAGUAGAGGAAAAUCUUGUCGUUUCAGUAGGGGGAGGAAAAAUUAACUAUUCUGAAAUAUGUCCCCUAAAUUUUGUUCUCUUUAACAAAAGCCUGGCCUCAAAGGAGAUUUUUGCUAGAGACUAAUCACACUGGAUUUUACCAGAGUCUAACCAACUCUAGGGUAAGGGAAAUACCCGACAUCAGCCCCUUCUAGCCUUCCUGUUCACCUAAAUGGGGUGAGGAUGUGGGGAGGAAGACUGAAAAGUAGUCGUGAAGGUCAUGUGGGACCACGAUGACUAGAAGACUGAGACCUAAUCAUAAGAUUAUAGAAUGUUCCCCUUCCCCUUCACAUUACCACCACAUCCCUAAAGGCUCUUCACUGGAGUUUCUUUUACCCAGUCCAACUGGAUAUCAUGUCCAACUUUCAACGAAGAAACUACAAGGCAUUCUAAAAUACAAAAGGCACAGUUUGAAAAGGCCAAGCAUUAUAAUCAGAUUCAUAUAUGGUAGGAAUAUUGGAUUUAUCAUGUCGAUACUUUAAAAUAACUAUAAUUAAGAUGUUUAGAGUUCUGAUGGAAAAAAUACACAACAUGCAAGAACAGAUGGGUACUGUAAGCAGUGAGAUGGAAGUUUUAAGAAUUAAAGGGAAAUUCUAGAAAUCAAAAACCGUGUAACAGAAAUGCCUUUGAUGGGGUCAUCAAUAGAAUAGACAUGACUAAAGAAAAAAAAAAAAAAAGAAUAGACAUGACUGAGGAAAGAGAGAGGGAAAUGAUACCAGAAAGUAAUUAAAUCCAUAAGAAAUGACAAAAGAGCACUGAUAAAGGUAAUUGGGUAAUUAUUUUUUACAAAGUACAACUACAGGGGCACCUGGGUGGCUCAGUUGCUUAAGUAUCCGACUGUUGGUUUUGGCUCAGGUCAUGAUCUCACGGUUUGUGAGUCCGAGCCCCACAUCAGACUCUGCACUGACAGCAUGGAGCCUGCUUGGGAUUCUCUCUCUUCCUUUCUCUCUGCCCCUCCCACCUCUCAAAAUAAAUAAAUAAAUAAACUUUAAAAAAAAGUACAAUUACAAUUUUUCCCCUUCUUAAUUUGUUUUAAGAACAAGUAGAACCCUUUCUAUAAAAUGUAUUUUGAGGUCUACAUAUAGAAAUGUAAUAUAUUAGACAAUAAUACAGUAAAAGAAUGGAGUGGGAAUGAAGCUUUAUUGGGGCAAGGAAAUGAUACCAGAUAACUGAAUCCACAGGAAGCAAAGAAGAGAACCAAACAUGAUAAAUAAGGCUAGCAUUUAAGUUUAUAAAUAAUUUUUUAAAACUUCUUCCAAAUACAUAGAAGAGCAUAAAUCAAUAAUUAUAACGUUUGUUGGGUUUGUGAAAUGCAUAGCUAUAAUAUGUAUAAAAAUAAUAGCACCGGGGCGCCUGGGUGGCGCAGUCGGUUAAGCGUCCGACUUCAGCCAGGUCACGAUCUCGCGGUCCGUGAGUUCGAGCCCCGCGUCGGGCUCUGGGCUGAUGGCUCAGAGCCUGGAGCCUGUUUCCGAUUCUGUGUCUCCCUCUCUCUCUGCCCCUCCCCCGUUCAUGCUCUGUCUCUCUCUGUCUCAAAAAUAAAUAAACGUUGAAAAAAAAAAUUAAAAAAAAAAUAAUAGCACCAAGAAAGUAGGGAAAGAUCAGGGUAAAUAGGAAGAAAGUUUUUAUAUCUUACUGGAAUUAAGUUAGUAUAAAUCUAAAGUAGAUUCUGGUAAGUAAUAUGUAUAUUGUAAGCCCUAGAGUAAGCUUUAAGAAAAUCACUCAAAAAUGUAGUUAAAAAUCAUAAAAGGUAUUAAAUGUUACACUAAAAUAUCUGCCCAAUACAAAAGAAACAAAUACAAAAGACAGGUAGAAAAUAGUAAAAAUAGACGAAAGGGUACUUAUCAAUUUACAUUAAUGAAAUUUUUUUUAAUGUUUAUUUUUGAGAGAGAGAGCAUGGGUGGGGGGGGAGGGGGAGGGGGGCAGAUAGAGAGGGAGACACAGAAUCCGAAGCAGGUUCCAGGCUCUGAGUUGUCAGCACAGAGCCUGAUGUGGGGCUCGAACCCACAAACCAUGAGAUCAUGACCUGAGCUGAACUUGGAUGCUUAACCGACUGAGCCAUCCAGGUGCCCCUAUCAAUUUACAUUAAGUAUAAAAUAAUUAUAUUCACAAAUUUAAAAGCAGAGAUUGACAGAAUGGAUAAAAAAACAUGAUCCAGUUGUAUGCUGUCUACAAGAGGCUCACUUUAGAUUCAGAGAAACUGUAAGUUCAGAGUAUAAGGAUGGAAAAAUGUAUACCAUGCAAAUAGUAACCAAAGAGAGCUGCUUUGGCUGUCUAAUAUCAGAAAAAGUAUACUUUGAGGCAAAAAUUAUUCCAAGAGACAAAGAAGAACAUUUUAUAAUGAUAAAUGGUCAAUAGUCAAGAUAUAAUGAUUAUAAAACAUAUAUACAACUAACAACACAUUCCAAUAAUAUAAGAAGCAAAAAUGUAGAAAAAGGCAAUUUUAUAAUUACAGUGGGAGACCUAAGUACUCCACCUUUAAUAAUGGAUAGAACAACUAGGCAGAAGACCAUCUAUCUACGUUAAUAGAAAACUUGAACAACACUGUAAACCAACUUGACCUGACAUCUAUGGAUUACCCAACGAGAGAAGAAGACAUUCUUUUCAGGUGCGCAUGAAACAUUCUCCAGGAUAAACAUUUUGCCAUAAAACAAGCCUCAAUAAAUUUAAAAGGAUUUCAAUCAUACUAAUUUCAAACAUGUUCUAGGACUGUAAGAAAUCAACUAUAGAGAAAGUUUUGGAAAUUUACAUGUAUAUGAAAAUGAAGUGUAAUUGAAUGUCCCAACUGGUUGGAGAAGAAAUCAAAACGGAAAUAAUAAAUACUUUGAGGUGAAUCCAAAUGAAGAUACAACAUACCAAAACUAUGGGAUGCUUCAAAACAGCACUUAGAUUGAAAUGUGUAGCUAUAGACACCUAUGUCAAGAAAAGAUCUCAAAUUAGUGACUUAACCUUUCACCUUAACACACUUGAAAAAGAAGAGCGAACAAAACCUAAAGCAAACAGAAAGUAAAUAAAGAUUAGAAAGAAGUAAACGGAAGAGAACAGAAACACAAUAGAGAAAUCCAUGAAACCAAAGGUUCUUUUUUUUUUAAGAGCAACAAAAUUGACAAGCCUUUAGAUUGAUUAAAAUAAAAAAAGAAACAAGACUCAAAUUAUUAAAGUCAGGAAUGUAAGGGGGACAUUACUAGCAACCUUACAGAAAUUAAAAGUUAAAAAAACUUUAAGGGAAUGCUAUAAGCAAUUCUAUGCCAAUGAGUUAGGUAAUUUAGGUUAAAUAAACAAAUUCCUAGAAAGACACAAACUACCAAAACUGAUUCAAGAAGGAAUAUAAAUCUGAAUAGACCUAUAACAAGGUACUGAAUUGGUUUUAAAAAAAAAAUACCCACAAAGAAAAACCCAGACCCGGAUGGCUUUGUUGUGAAUUCUACCAAAUAUUCAAAAGAAGAACAAAUGCCAAUUCUUUACAAACGUUUCCAAAAAAGUAGAAGAGAAUGGAACAUUUCCUAACUCAUUUUGUGAAACUAGUAUCCUGAUAAAAAUACCAGGCAAAGACAUAACGAGAAAGUUAACUGACCAAUACCUCCUGUGAAUGUAGAUGUAAAAACUCUCAACAAAAUAUGAGCACGCGAAUCCAAUAACACAGUUAUACAUCAUGAUCAAGUGAGGUUUAUCUCAGGAAUGCAAGAUUGACAACAUUAAAAAAUUAGUACAUAAUACCACAUCACUAGAAUUAAGAGUAAAAACCACAUAAUCCUAUCAAGAUGCAGAAAACCACUUGACAGAAAAUAAGCUCUUUUCUGCCACAGGGAACUAGUGAGGAACCAUAGUGAGGAACGUUACAUUCUAUGAUUUAAAUAUACAUGUAUAGUCUUGGGAAAAAUAUUUACUUGGUGGCCCUGUUUCCUCAUGUGGAAAAUGGGAAUAACAGUAGCAACAUCAUAGAGUUGAUGUGAGUUAGUUAUGUAAAGCUUAGAACAAUGGCAUAGAGAAAGUACUCGACAGAUGUUAGCUAUUAAAUAGGUAACAAUUAUUAGUAAUAACGAAGUUCUUCACAAAAUGUCACAUCUAAAACAGUAUUUUAAUAACAUUGCACAGACAUCUAUCAGUAACAGUCCUGUGUGGAAAGAUCUGCAUGAUCUAUGUCCCUUCUGCACACAGCAAAGUUCAGUGGGAAAAUACACAAACUGAUAGACUUGAACUGGAAUCUUGUCAGUUUGUCAGAUUACAAACAUGACAAACAGAUUACAAAUCUUACACAGAUUACAUAACCCACUUCAGUCUCCGUUAACUUGCCUGUGAAUUGGGAGUUUUGUAGUUGUCUCAGCCAGUUAACCUAGUGAAGUAUGUGAGGCACUCAGUAAAGAAACAGGCAGAGAAGAUAGGUGAUAAAGGAAUGGUUGGUACUAUCAUUGGCCAGUAGAUGAAAAAUGGUUUGCUUACAGAUGGUAGACAUUCUGUCUGAAGUCAUGGCUUCAAAUAAUUCAUUAAAAACUUUUUUUUUUAACUGGUUUUCUGCCUUUUGACCCUUAAACAAUGUUUAAACCUUCUAGAUGCCUCAGCAAAUGAUAGGGGGAAAGUGGACGACAGAUUUCUGCAGUGGGAUUUUUUAGACUGUGAGAGUGGAGACUAGAUUCGAGGACGACAGGGUUGAGAGGCAUGAGACGUCUGUGAUGCUCCCAUCCAGCAUCCCGGUGUGAGAAAGCCUUAGAGUCACUGCCUAACGCCAGCAGAGGGCGUGCUAAGACCACACAAGACUGAAUUUGGCGGCUCUGACUCCGUGAAGCCCAGCCCGGCGUAGGGCUGCUCUCUCUACAGGGGUCCCAUAAUCCUGAAUCCUGACUGUUCUCCCUCUGCAUUCUCCCUUUAGAUCCCGUGGGGCCAGGAGAUUCCAGGCUGGGCGAAUCGCCUCGGCCGCCUCAGCUACUUGUGUCCUCUGUGUGCAGAGUUGGCUCCCCAAGGACCUGCUGAUGCCUUCAGCGCAUCAGAACCACAUAAACCCUGCACUCCACAACCAGG